This 229-nucleotide ribosomal RNA is filed under the name uncultured bacterium. Its description in RNAcentral is "partial 16S ribosomal RNA". It matches the Rfam family "Bacterial small subunit ribosomal RNA", at positions 568 to 796 of the family's 1533-position model. The record is from RNAcentral.
UGCGUAGGUGGAAUAGUAAGUCAGUGGUGAAAUCUCUCGGCUCAACCGAGAAACUGCCGUUGAUACUGUUAUUCUUGAGUUUAGUUGAAGUGGGCGGAAUGUGUCAUGUAGCGGUGAAAUGCAUAGAUAUGACACAGAACACCGAUAGCGAAGGCAGCUCACUAAGCUAAUACUGACACUAAUGCACGAAAGCGUGGGUAGCGAACAGGAUUAGAUACCCUGGUAGUCC